UAAGACUCGACCUUGUGACCUGUGUUGUUGAUAACAUGUUAGAUACAUGUACCAUGUCAUUUUCUGACAUGUUGUUCAUCAUAUGCUGAGCCUGUUUGACAUAGAAGUGAAUCGCUGAUUUCAGAGGUACGAGUGUUUCCCAAGAACACAGACCGGAACUGCACACUUAAAACUCGGUACUACUGCAAGUUUCAAAGACAACCUUAUGUGACAACCUUCUUCAGAACUGAAGUAAAAUAACAGUCCACUGUGAAGUGUCUGGACCACCAGGAAGUUAACGGAAGUCAAACACAAUGUCCGAGAUGCAAAAUGGCGACAUUGCUACCAAGAGGAGUGUGUUCAGCCUGCGGCAAUGGGGGAGUACAGGUUGCGAAAGUCAACCCGAUGCCCAGACCUUCUACAGAGACAGCAGGAGCUUCUGUUCAUGACCCUGGUAUUACAAAUGGGCCAAAGGGUAAAGAACCUGCCAGUGAAGACUUCCUGCAAAGGAGAGUAGAUGAAGUGGCGCACACUGAGGAAGAGAAGAUGAAGAAAGAGAUGAAGGGAGAAUUUCGAAAAUCGAUGCAGAUGAAGAUGGCAAAAGAGAGAGAGGAAUUCUUAAUACAACAAGGAAAAACUGCCAUGGAGACGGAAGCUCUAAGACGUGAAGUUGCCGGUCUGAAACUAAAGAACCAACUUUCGGAGUGAACAGUUUAUAAGGAAACAUUUCAGUUACAUAGCACCCUCAAUCAUACAGCGUAUAUCCACAAUGGUGCGAUAUUUACUAUGGGCCCCCUUUGCCACCAAAGCUUCGUUUCGGAAGUGACGUCACUAUCUCCCUCUCUCUUAUCACCAGUUUAGCACAGCAUUCCCUCAGUCCUAAGUGUACUUUGAUUGGACAGCUAUUUUUAGCGAAACGGGUAUCCCCCUGAUAACCAAUCUCUUGUGAGCAUCUACCCCUCUUCAUUGUCCUAAAUGUUACACACAUAGUAAUGCAAAUGUAAAGUUAUUUGUCAAUAAUUCAUCGAUGGCGUAUUCUUUAUACAGUAAACUACGGUUAUAACGAACUCAAAGGGACUACUUAUUUUAGUUCGUUAUAACCGUAGUUCGUUAUAAGUAUAUAUACAGCAUAACUACAGCAAAUAGUCGGGACCAAAAAAAGUAAGUUCGUUAUAUCCGUCAGUUCGUUAUAAGCGUGUUCGUUAUAACCGUAGUUUACUGUAUGUGUAUUGCUUCAUUCAUUGCUAUCUUAUUAUCAUAUAUGUAAUAAAUUUCUUUCGACUGUAUUUGGCCUACUCAUCGUGUUAUCAUAACUCGACCGCCUCCGUGAUCUAGUGAAGAGGGCGUCUGCACGGAUAACGAAAGGUCGGUGAUUCGGUCCCCUGAUCCAGUCAUACCAAAAUACUUUUAAAAAAUAGCACUUGUUGUUACCCUGCCUGCCGCUCGUCAUUAACGGGAUAACACAAGGACUGCUCGGAUGAGAUUCUGUAUAAUGUUUCUGAGUGAGGUGUCCAUGUUAAACUUCGGCAUGGCAUUCCAGUGGGCUAUUAGGGAAAUAAUCUUAAACGCGACGUUAAACCUCACGUAUUAUCUUAAAGGAAUUACUCCUUUACGAGAGUUGGAUCGACAAUGUAGGUUGAGUGGUUAAAUUAAUUGUCUCGUCACACGGGAUCUUGUGAGUAGCGAUUCACGCCAUUGGGGCUAUCAGCCAAUUCAUGGAGCAUGACCAUCCGACCUUCUGUUGUCGACUCUAAGGACCAUCGUGGAAUACAUGUACUAGGGUCCAAUUCUUCUCCUGAAUCGCCAUGCUUGUCGUUGGAGUCGAUCAAAGAGGAUCGUGUGGAUACUGUGUGUGACCUGGCUUCGCGCAUCGAUUGCGAUAGUCGACAUUCAUGUUAUCAACCACUUGUCCGACUUGUCCGCCGCAGAGAUGUAGCUAGAAUGUUGUUGACUACAGCGUAAAUCAACAUCUAUUAAAACAUAAUGUCAUUUACAGCCAAACGGUAAAUACAUGAUAUUAACCACUGGUAUAUCUGUUCCUGAUUCGAGUAUUUACAGGCCGCCGUCGUGUAGCUAUACUAUUGCGGAAACAUACAAACAACAAAUACGUUCGUGAUCAUGCCCAAAACAUGCAAGUGUUUGAAAGAUAGACUAUUCCGGACUAGUACAAGCAGCCACAAAUAUACAUAAACGUACAUGCACGUCGCUAUAUGAAUGUUAUAAUCUUGACGAUUUGGUAUUGACAAAUAAAUAACUUUCAUGCCCUUUAA
Molecule: unclassified non-coding RNA, 2249 nt
Filed under: Haliotis rufescens (red abalone)
Lineage: Eukaryota; Metazoa; Mollusca; Gastropoda; Lepetellida; Haliotidae
Description: uncharacterized LOC124132109, transcript variant X1
Source: RNAcentral